Molecule: long non-coding RNA, 1143 nt
Filed under: Gadus morhua (Atlantic cod)
Lineage: Eukaryota; Metazoa; Chordata; Actinopteri; Gadiformes; Gadidae
Description: lncRNA (ENSGMOG00000035731.1)
Source: RNAcentral
AUGCAUCACUCGAUUUUUACGGAUGAUUCAAAGCCAGAAGUCAAACGCUGCACAACUUGCUGCACACUUUUCCACUGCCCCCUAUGCCCAACUUUCAAACCAACCAUCAACACGAAGCUUCAGUGCCACCUGGAAUCCCACAUAAAACAUUCCAUUACAUUUAAAGACAAAAAGAUAUGCAGGUGCAACCUCAGCUGCAGGGAUGGGGGACAUUAUCAUUGCCCCCUUUGUGGCAAAACGAUCAUCAGGAAGUCGGUUAUGGAUCUACACCUGAAGUCCUGCACAAACACGCAAGACAGUCCCUCCACCUCCGCUGCCGUCCAUACAUCCAACCAAAACCCCAUCACAGUCAAGACAGCCACCACCUCUCCAGCUCCGACUGCUCCUUCUCCCCAAGCUUCAACUGUUGUGUCUUCCUCUGCCGUCUCUGCUGCCCAGAGUAAAAGUACAACCGGUUUGAAAAACAGUUCCAAGUCUUAGUUUAAGUAACUAACUGGUUGCAAAAAUAAUAUAAUUGAAUAUAAAAUUAUUCCAACUUGGUGGCAUUUCAUUUUCCAUUAAACAGGGGCCACUUUACAACAUUGUGGCUGGAGUUGCCUGGCUGCGUAAGCAUGCAGGUUUGCUCAAGGGGAAGGUGGUCGAGCCUGCAUUUCCGAACAUGGACGCAAAAGAACAGCAGGAGCUCAUGGAAAGGAUACGUUCUUCAAGUGAUGAAGAAGAAAACUACCCCCUGCUCUUCACAUUUGACUUUCAGGAAGACAUGGAGGUCUUCCUUAACAUGGCAGCUGAGGAGGAUCUUCGGGUCAACGCCAUGUUUCUGGGUCGCUGGGUGGACAGCCAGUGACAUUGCUGUGUGUGUGUGUGUGUGUGUGUGUGUGUGUGUGUGUGUGUGUGUGUGUGUGUGUGUGUGUGUGUGUGUGUGUGUGUGUGUGUGUGUGUGUGUGUGUGUGUGUGUGUGUGUGUGUGCGUGUGUGUGUGUGUGUUGAGGUUCUGGGUUCAGUUAUCUGUUGAGUGUUCUUAAUAAAGUGUUAUAACGUUUACAAUGUAUUGAUUUUUUUUAUGACUUUACUUAUUCACUUUGGUUACACACAGAGCUAAGUUAAAACACAGACUUGAGUUUGUCGGAUUUAAAUAUGGGCAAAU